UAAACAAAACCUAAUUUAUAGGAUUACAGUGAUAGUGUAAUUGAGUGUUUUCACUUGUUUAA
RNAcentral lists this transfer RNA (62 nucleotides) under Trichuris sp. 2 ARS-2017. Its description in RNAcentral is "tRNA-Ile". The record is from RNAcentral. Lineage: Eukaryota; Metazoa; Nematoda; Enoplea; Trichinellida; Trichuridae.